Homarus americanus (American lobster) is the source of this 1083-nucleotide long non-coding RNA. RefSeq lists it as uncharacterized. Lineage: Eukaryota; Metazoa; Arthropoda; Malacostraca; Decapoda; Nephropidae. The transcript is spliced from 2 exons. The record is from RefSeq and is a predicted model, not a curated record.
CUCCACACCACCACCACCACCACCCACUUACGGCCCUCCACCACCACCACCACCACCACCACCACCACCACAUGCCUACGGUGAAAAGGAAGUGAUCGAGAUUGUGGUUGACGAGAAGGAGGGACCUGACGGGUACGGCAACUACAAAUUCAAUUUUGAGGGCGCAAACGGCAUCACCCGGAAGGAGGAAGGCGCCCCCUCAGGAGACACUGGCGCCGUGGGAACCAAGGGAGAAUGGGCAUUCACCUUCCCUGACGGCACCCCAGGAGUCUUCAACUUCGUGGCCGACGCUGCAGGUUACCAGGUACAGUCUGACCUGCUGCCCACGCCCCAUCCUCUCCCCGCCCAUGCCAUCGCCCAGAUCGAAUUCGCUCGUCAGGAGGACGCCGCCGCCGCUGCAUCCCAACAAUAUGCUCCUCCACAGCCACCACCCACCUACGGCGGGCGAUAGACGUCCUGACUGACACUACAGUAGAUGUUUGGUACCUCGGCUGUGGAGUACCUCUGCUGUGGAGUACCUCGGCUGUGUGGUACCUCGGCUGUGUGGUACCUCAUCUGUGUGGUAGCCUUAGACUUACAUCUACCUGGAGUUAGCUCCCCGUGUUUCUUUUGUUUAGCUACAUGGAAUUUUACUUAUCGCUAUUCCUAGCUGUCAGAGACCCCGCUUAGCUACCUCAAGGAUUCCUACUAUCCCUUCAACGUAGAUGCCUGUGGAGCUCAUACUCGUACACAGGACUUUGCAGGGCCCCUUGAUGUUCGCAGAGAUCCUGGUGCUCAAAAAGUCCAAUCUAUCCUAGUCCUCCGACGUCCUACGAGUAUCUGUCUUGUAAACUCAGGUGAUGUAAGCUUGUUAGGUCUUUAUAAGCUGCCUGAUUCUUGGACUGUAUCUGCCUCAUGCUUUAGAUUUUUCUGCUACCAGCUCUAAGGCUCUGGCAAACGAAGACCCUCUUUAACUGGGACUCCUACGUCUACUACGGGAUCACUGCUUGCUGAUAAGGAUAUUUAUCUUAUUUAUAUGUAUAUUUGCUUAUAUGUAUUGUACGAUCAUUCCAUUAUCUAAUAUAAAAUUGCAUUGAUUAAAAA